AACGAACGCUGGCGGCAGGCUUAACACAUGCAAGUCGAACGGGCCCUUCGGGGUCAGUGGCAGACGGGUGAGUAACGCGUGGGAACGUGCCCCUCAGUUUGGGAUAACCCAGGGAAACUUGGGCCAAUACCGGAUACGUGCGAGAGCAGAAAGGUUUAUCGCUGAAGGAUCGGCCCGCGUCUGAUUAGCUGGUUGGUAGGGUAAUGGCCUACCAAGGCGACGAUCAGUAGCUGGUCUGAGAGGAUGAUCAGCCACAUUGGGACUGAGACACGGCCCAAACUCCUACGGGAGGCAGCAGUGGGGAAUAUUGGACAAUGGGCGCAAGCCUGAUCCAGCCAUGCCGCGUGAGUGAUGAAGGCCUUAGGGUUGUAAAGCUCUUUCAGUGGGGACGAUAAUGACGGUACCCGCAGAAGAAGCCCCGGCUAACUUCGUGCCAGCAGCCGCGGUAA
RNAcentral lists this ribosomal RNA (449 nucleotides) under uncultured bacterium. Its description in RNAcentral is "partial 16S ribosomal RNA". It matches the Rfam family "Bacterial small subunit ribosomal RNA", at positions 29 to 523 of the family's 1533-position model. The record is from RNAcentral.